Molecule: transfer RNA, 77 nt
Filed under: Candidatus Dormiibacterota bacterium
Lineage: Bacteria; Bacillati; Candidatus Dormiibacterota
Also listed under: 1 other name
Description: candidate division AD3 bacterium tRNA-Pro
Rfam family: tRNA
About the family: Transfer RNA (tRNA) molecules are approximately 80 nucleotides in length.
Source: RNAcentral
CGGGCGGUGGCUUAGCCCGGCAAAGCGCCUGCUUUGGGAGCAGGAGACCGGCGGUUCGAAUCCGCCCCGCCCGACCA